UACGAAGGGGGCUAGCGUUGUUCGGAAUUACUGGGCGUAAAGCGCGCGCAGGUGGUCUUUCAAGUCAGUGGUGAAAGCCCGGAGCUCAACUCCGGAAAUGCCAUUGAAACUGUAAGACUUGAGGAUGAGAGAGGUGAGUGGAAUUCCCAGUGUAGAGGUGAAAUUCGUAGAUAUUGGGAAGAACACCGGUGGCGAAGGCGGCUCACUGGCUCAUAUCUGACGCUCAGGCGCGACAGCGUGGGGAUCAAACAGG
This 253-nucleotide ribosomal RNA is filed under the name uncultured bacterium. RNAcentral describes it as "partial 16S ribosomal RNA". It matches the Rfam family "Bacterial small subunit ribosomal RNA", at positions 524 to 776 of the family's 1533-position model. RNAcentral also lists the same sequence under 1 other name. The record is from RNAcentral.